GACGAACGCUGGCGGCGUGCUUAACACAUGCAAGUCGAACGGAAAGGCCCCCUUGUGGGGUACUCGAGUGGCGAACGGGUGAGUAACACGUGAGUAACCUACCCUUGACUUUGGGAUAACUUCAGGAAACUGGGGCUAAUACCGGAUAGGAGCUCCUGCUGCAUGGUGGGGGUUGGAAAGUUUUGGCGGUUGGGGAUGGACUCGCGGCUUAUCAGCUUGUUGGUGGGGUAGUGGCUCACCAAGGCUUUGACGGGUAGCCGGCCUGAGAGGGUGACCGGCCACAUUGGGACUGAGAUACGGCCCAGACUCCUACGGGAGGCAGCAGUGGGGAAUAUUGCACAGUGGGCGGAAGCCUGAUGCGGCAACGCCGCGUGCGGGAUGACGGCCUUCGGGUUGUAAACCGCUUUCGCCUGUGACGAAGCGUGAGUGACGGUAAUGGGUAAAGAAGCACCGGCUAACUACGUG
Molecule: ribosomal RNA, 465 nt
Filed under: uncultured bacterium
Lineage: Bacteria
Description: partial 16S ribosomal RNA
Rfam family: Bacterial small subunit ribosomal RNA
Source: RNAcentral